This 355-nucleotide ribosomal RNA is filed under the name uncultured bacterium. RNAcentral describes it as "partial 16S ribosomal RNA". It matches the Rfam family "Bacterial small subunit ribosomal RNA", at positions 338 to 690 of the family's 1533-position model. The record is from RNAcentral.
CCUACGGGUGGCAGCAGUGAGGAAUAUUGGUCAAUGGCCGGAAGUCUGAACCAGCCAAGCCGCGUGAAGGACGAAGGUGCCAAGCAUUGUAAACUUCUUUUGUCAAGGGAUAAACCCCGGCUCGUGUGCCUGACCGAGGGUACCUUACGAAUAAGCAUCGGCUAACUCCGUGCCAGCAGCCGCGGUAAUACGGAGGAUCCGAGCGUUAUCCGGAUUUAUUGGGUUUAAAGGGAGCGUGGGUGGUUGGUUAAGUCAGUUGUGAAAGUUUGCGGCUCAACCGUAAAACUGCAGUUGAAACUGGCGAUCAUGAGUACAGUAGGGGUGGGGGGAAGUAGGGGUGUAGCGGGGAAAUGCU